RNAcentral lists this long non-coding RNA (6944 nucleotides) under Sus scrofa (pig). Its description in RNAcentral is "lncRNA (ENSSSCG00015058542.1)". Lineage: Eukaryota; Metazoa; Chordata; Mammalia; Artiodactyla; Suidae. The record is from RNAcentral.
UCUUUUUAGGGCCGCACUUGUGGCAUAUGGAGGUUUCCAGGGUUCCCAGGCUAGGGGUCCAAUCGGAGCUGUAGCCGCCAGCCUACUCCAGGACCACAGCAAUGCCAGAUCCAAGCCUUGUCUGAGACCUACAUCACAGCUCACGGAAACACCGGAUCCUUAACCCACUGAGCAAGGCCAGGGAUCAAAUCUGCAUCCUAAUGGAUACCAGUAGGUUUGUUAAUUGCUGAGCCAUGAAGGGAACUCUGGCUUCAACUUUCUAUUCUGAGGUGUACUGGAAGCCUGUGGAAGUGUCCACUGACUCCUUAUUGACUUGAGGCAAAUUGCCUAAGUUUUCUAAAUUUUAUUUUCCUCAUCUGCAAAAUGAGGAUAAUUAUAACUACCUCAAAAAAGUGUUUUGGAUAUUAGAGAAUCUGUAGUAAAAAACUAGUACAAGGUGCAUUUUAAAGACUCCAACAAUGGAAUAUAUUGUUAUAUUGUUCUACUGAUUAAUGUUAUUUAGAUUUAGUAAUCUAAAUAUAUUAGAUUAAUUUAAUAUAACAUUAUUAGAUUAAUAUAUCUCAUUAUUUUAUUAUUGAUGAUGUAAAAUAAACCAGAAACUUAGACAUCAUUCCAAAUUCUUCCUUCUUCCUUAUUCACCCCCUCAUAGCUAAUUCUUGAAAUUCUACUUCUUAAGUUUCUGUUUAAAUCUAUACCUUUUUCCUUCCUCUCCAUCUCUACUGCUACAACCUUAAUAGUUCUACACACACACACACACCUUGUUGCUUUCUCAGCAUGACACAAUUCUUGAUCCUCUCUACCUGGCUCAAUGUUACGCAAGUCUCAGUCUUUAUCUGGGCAUCACUUCCUUCAGACAGGUCUUAGCUGAGUAAGGUGCCUUGUCUCAACAUCUGUGUGGGCCCACAGUCUAGCCCAUCAGAGCCUGUAUCACACAUGCUGUUUUUUAUUCCUCUGUCUACCCUUUUUUUCCUAAAAGUUCAGUGAAGACAGGAAGCAAUCUCUGCUUCAGCACAACUCUAGAGCCUGAAAUGGAGUAGAUAUCCAAUAUUUAUACCACAUGUGAGCCAGAAACAAACAAUAAUUAAACUCUUAUGAUGAAGUUUGCUUACAUGUAUUUUAUAGCAAAUAUAUGUGAUAUGUACAAUAAUGCUGUAUAUCCCUUUUCUGAAUAUCUGUAUCUCUAUACAUCUAUAGUUAAGUACAGAUAAAUUAUGUAUACACACAUAUACUUCUCUGUAUUUAUCUAGCAAGUAAGCAAAUUAACCUACCUACACACAAGUUACCUACAUUCAUGGUGGAGCUUUUAUUUUAGUAUCUGACCAUCAUAAUCUCUGGACUUCUACCUGAUAUCAGUGUACCUAUAGUGCAGAUGAGAUAAUGGAGAGGAAAUGCCUUCUCUUAAGAACUCAUGGAAAAACUUGACUCCAGAGAGAGACUUCUAUGUCACAAGAUCAGAUGAACUAUUCCCCAAGUUUUUCUUCUUCAUUCCAUCUCCAAUAUCUAUCUGGUCCAUCAUGUCCUCACCUCCUGACUAGACUAAUACAGCCGUCUCCAUAGUGGUAUACAUUCUCAUUUUAACCCUUGGCCCACCUAGUUUCCACACAUGACCAGAGUGACCUUUUUUAAAGAAAAUGUGAAUCACAUUCAGGCCACUCCUCUUCAACUUAGAAUGCAUCAAUGGCUUCUCAUUUUUAGGGAAGCAUACAAAUCCCUCAAUAUGGGCUAUAAAGUCCUAUAAGCUGUUUUCCUUUCCAACAUCACCUCCCUUCUCUCCAGACCUCACAAUCACUGUCGAGAACUCUCUGCUAUUCUUUCCUCAGUUUCUUGAAUAUACCAUGCUCUCUUCUCAACUUUGGGCUUUCAUAUGAGCUGUUCCUUAUUCCUAGAACUAAAUUAAUUUCCUCAUCCCAAGCCCAUUUUGCCUGCUUCUUGUUUCAUUUCCAGCUUCCUCUAAGAAGCUUUCCUUCUAAAUUUUCUACCACCAAGCCUUGUCAGGAGCACCAUCACCUUCUGAGACUCCAUAGUCCCUGGUACUUCCCCCUCUCACAAACUUGUCACAUGUGAUGAAUGUCUCAUGCAAUGUCUCAUUCACCGUCUGCCUUUGGGCUCCAUGAAAGAGUACAUAGCAAAAUAAAUAUUUGCUGAAAUAAUUAGGUUACACAUUUAAGCCAAAACAGAGGCAAUCCAGGGGAUAAGCCCAGAGUCAAGUCUCACCACCCACCAGGAGGUCCAUCCCCUUCCAUCUCACCGCAUCAAUCUCAUUCAGGGCCUUCCACUGCUCAUAGGGGACAUCCAGGGCUUCAGCUGUCUGGAUAGUCCUCUUCAUGUGGCUGGUCCACACCUUCAGGGAGCUGAUGGCCUGGGACUUAAUGAAGUCGGCCAAGGCAUAGGCAUACUGGGGAGUGGGAGUACAAAGGAGGAGAUGAGAAAGAGAGAUGAAAGAAGACAAGGUGGUCAUGAGAAGAAGUUCAGAUCUGCCACAAAUGGUAGAAUGAUGGUGAACAAACAAGAGUAGAGUUUAAAAGUUUCCAAUUUAUAAAGAGUCAUAGUUUUGACCAUGUGACCAAGGAUCAAAGGAAUAGAAAAGAACAUGUAUAUUUGUGUGUGCGUGCACGUGUGUGUGUGUGUCUUCAUUGAUGCUUGCUCAUGGAAUCUUCUACUCAAUUAUUCAUUCAUUCAAACAGCCCACUUCUAACAUAUGUGGAGCCUGGGAUAAGAAUACAAGUGGAUGUACUCCACUCAUAGUCCACCAUCCUUCUUUCCCAUUUCUGCUCCAUCCCGCACUUAUAGUUUCCUUGAAUACAUGUAUAUGAAUAAUUUAGUCACUGGACCAAGCUCUGUCCACAUUAUAUUUCCACCAACCCCUGUGACCCACAGUGGUUCCUUGGCCACCCUUUGCCUAGGGGUGAACAUUUCUGUCACAAUGGCCUUCUCUCCGGUGAAUAGAUUAUGGAAAAGGUAAACAGAUUAUGGGACAUUGGCCCUAGAAAAAGGUUCUGGGAAGGAAAUUCUAGGGUUCCAGGUACUCUUAGUAUGGUCUAGAAGUGUGUAGAGAGUGGGAUUUGGGGGACAUUUCCCUUUGACCCUGUAAAUUCUCAUUGCUUGAGUAGCGUAACUGGUACUCAGGUUUUAAGGGCAUUCAAAUAUUUACUGAGUGUGUGUGGCCAUAUGCUGGGCACUGGGGUGUCCAAUUAUCAAGAUACAGUCAAUCUAGUGAGGGAAACCCUGACAGGACCAAAAGGAAACACAAAGGCCUGUGGGAGGCCAGAGGAGCAAGUGAUUCACUCUUCUUCUGCAUAGAGGUAUGCUAUUAAGGAUCAUGUGUGGGGAAAAUCUGUACAAAUGUACAGAUAUAAGCAUAUAUAGGCAUUGUGUAUACACAGCCUGAUAAUGGAUUAUGAGUCAGCAAUCAGUGUGCUCUAGUGGAGGGAGCCCUUGACUAGGAGACAGGAGAUAGGGCUCAAACUGUUCCAGCUCCCUUACAGGUCCUUGUGUACCCGGGAACAUGUCCCUGGCCCUCUCUGGCCUCAUAUCUCCUGCCUAUAACAUGCAAACAGCAUUAGCUCACCCAGCCUGGUCUCUGUGAGUGUCACAUUAGAUAGUAGACAAGGAACUCGCAGAGUAUACCAUGACACACAGUAGGUGAGAGCUACUGUGAUUGAUUGUGGGUAACGGUUGAUGGGAAAGUGCUUUGUAAACCAUGCAUGGUGCACUGUGGCCAUGAGCAUAAAGGUUGAUGCCAAGCAUGUGCAUGUACAUGUGCACACUUGUGCACAAGAGGUAUGCUGUGCGGAGAUGGUUAUAUGCCCAAACCGGGCACUGAGCUGUGUGGGCAAAGCCAUGGCCAGCCCUAACCAAGACACUCCUGGCUGUAGGUGGUGCCAUGAGGCCUCCAGCAGCCUCUGAUUCUGCUCUGAGGAGCAAGAGAAGUGAGAGUCAGAGGUCAGGGUCCACCUCAAGGGGAUGCUGCCAGUCUGAAGGUGGCAGAAAUGGAUCCAGGAGGACCACGGCCUCUGGUGUGAUGCCUGGCCUGGGAUACUGACAUCUCGGCAGUGGGGGAGGCUGAUGGGCAAGCAUGAAGGCCUGGUUUUCAGUCCUGACUCUAUCCUUUUCUGGCUGUGCGACCUGGGGCCUCUCUCUGUUUCUGCCUGGGCUCAGCUUUCUCAUCCAUAAAUCGGUGACAGUAAUGCUCACCCCACAGGCUGUUGUGAAGAUUAAAUGAGGCCACACAUGUGGAAGCAGAUAGUGCUGUGAAUGUGCAGAAGUAUCUAGUAGAAGAGGGUGCGCCUUCUCUUUUGCACCUCAUUCCUCACAUGUCCCGCCCAAGCCAUCCUCCCGGCAAGAACAAUACCUGUGCUAACAAGCCCAGACAAGGGGCCAAACACAGGAAAAUGUGUCACUUUAUUUAGCCAGCACCCAUAAUGUGCAGGUCACUAUACUUAGCUAGAAAGAAGAGACUCAUGACAUGAGGAUCAGAGGUGGGCCAGAACUGGGAGAGAUGGAGUUCAGGGCAUUGUGGCCAGCCUGGGAGGGCAGGAGAGGACAGGGGAGGGCUUCCUGGACUAGACCAUGGAGCAGCAGAUAAGUCCUGGAAGGGGUAGGGGAGGGAGGGCAGGAAAGCCAUGGUGACCAGUGGGGAACAAGUGCUGAUCCUGUGAUGACCUGAAAUAUGGGUUUGAGAAUGAAGCAUCAGGCCUGAGGAAGGGAAGAGAGGAUGGACUUGAGGGUGGGGUGUUUUAGGACAGCUAUCUGUGCAAGUCAUGGUCACCAGCUGACAGAGGGGACAGAGGAGGGCAGCCCUGGUGGGGGAAACUGCACAAGCAAAAGCACAGAGCCAUGAGAAAGAUGAGGGGACCAGUCAGGCUCCCUGUAAUGGGGCUGGAGGAGCAGCUAGAUCUGGGAAGGCCUGGAGUGCCAGGACCAAGCCAUCAGAUUUGCAGAUACUGUCAGCACAUGGGAGCCCAUCAAGAAUGGGUCAAGAGUGAGUGGCUGAUGAAGUGGAAGAGCAGGAGUGCCUAGAACCUGCUUUUACCCUGUUACUGAGUCCCUCCAUCCUCAGAACCCAGGCAGUGGCCACCCCAUCCACCCGCAGCCAAUCUGGCCCAGCUCAGCCAAUGCUUCAGGGUCACUGGGCCAUCCCUACCUGCUUGCCCCGAGGUGAGAGGCCAGAGUCACCUCCGAUGCGGCCUCUGAGGUUGAGUUCACUCUCACCGUGCCGGCAUAGGUAGAUGGAGCGGGGUGUGACAUGGAUGUUCAUGAGAUAGUAGACUGUGCGGCUCUGGAUGUGGUCCUGCACGCGGUUCACCAUGUAGCGUGUGCCCACGUCGAAGAUCUUGAUGUAGGACAAGUGGCUGGGCCAGCCCAAGUGGGAGCAAGGGUAGCUCAGGGGUUGAUGGUGAAGAGGCUAGUCCCAAGAGUAAGCCCCAACCACACCUCCUGCCUUCAAUCCUCCACCACAACUCAGCUCUCACGUGCCUUUUCUCUAAGAAGAUGUUUUGUAUUGCCCUGUUUUAGAGGUUGGUUCCUGGACACCCCGAGGAGCUCACUGCCUGCUACCAUCUCCCUUUGUCUCCUUGGUCUCAGGUUGAGCCUCUGUUUUUACCUUCAGUCAUCACACUCCAGGUAUCUAGGGUUCUCUCUUCUGUGGUUUACACUGCUGACAUAUUCAGAAAGAAAAAGUAAUCCUCCAUGUCCCUGACUGCCUCCAAUAUCUCACUGGCAGCUCCUGACUUGUCCAUUCCUUCAUCGUUUCAAAUCUUUUUUUAAAUUUAUUUUUAAUUGUUAUUUCCCCCAACACACUUUUUCCCCACUGCACAGAAUGGGGACCCAGUUACACAUACGUGUAUACAUAAUUUUUUUCUCCCAUUGUCGUGCUGUGUCUUAAGCAUCUAGACAGUUCUCAGGGCUACACAGCAGAAUCUCAUUGUUAGUCCAUUCCAAAAGCAAUAGUUUGCAUCCAUUAACCCCAAGCUCCCAAUCCCUCCCACUCCCUCCCCCUCCUCCCGGUCAACCACAGCCCUGGACUUCCUGUGUGGCUCACAACAUACUUUAAAAUCUUAAGCCAAGCUCUGUCCCUCUAUUAUUUGAGCCUCUGCUAUGAUAUAUUGUACUUGACACUCUGCAAGCAGCUAUCAGACUGUUUCUGUGUAUGCACAUGUCUCUGUGUUUAUGCCUCUCUUACUCAGAAAAGGGAGUGGGUUGGGUUCUUUCCUUAUCUGCCAUGUAGUCAAAAAACAUACCCUCCUCUGUUCUAAGCUUUAUACUUGGGGUGGAGACUCAGUGUCUGUCCUUUGGGAACUCUUAGGCCUAUUAGGAAUAUAUAUUUGGAAACACAUACUCAAUGCUCAACACCCAUUCUUAGAGUAGUCACUCACUCUAAGGUGUGCCAAGUACAGGAGCAUGGGAAUACAGAGGUGUUCCACAUUAGUGAAGAAAUUGUGGUCCUUGCUUUAAGCCCCUUUGUUAUCCCCUCAAUUCUGUACUCUGUCAUGAACUAAUAGGUAUGAGUGAUAAACUAUUCAACAACCACUCUGCAGAGGAAUUGGGGGGUGGAGGACAUUGACUAAUCAGAAGACUAGAAUCAUAGAGCAAGAUUCCUGAGGCCCCUGUUGUGCCACACAUUAAUUCUUUGGUUGCUGGAUUGUAGGGAGUUCAGAGGGAUCUCUGGCAAGAGGUGGGGGAAUCUGAGGCAAUGGAAUGACACACCAACACUGCAGAGGAGAAAGGGAUCCCACACCCUGGAAAGUCACCUACAUGGGGGAAAGAUCAAACGAACCAGAGGAAUCUCCAGAUGCAGAGAAGAGUGUAGCAGUAAGUUGGAGUACGGAAAAGCCGAUCAAGAGCCGAACAGACCAUCUGAACUACGGGCACAGUCACCAAAAAUUGAGAUGCCUGGGUGGGGUCUGGGCACCGAAUCUUCGGCUCCAGAAGUUAGUCCCCGGGAA